This 164-nucleotide ribosomal RNA is filed under the name Impatiens spectabilis. RNAcentral's name for it is "5.8S ribosomal RNA". It matches the Rfam family "5.8S ribosomal RNA". Rfam says of the family: 5.8S ribosomal RNA (5.8S rRNA) is a component of the large subunit of the eukaryotic ribosome. The record is from RNAcentral. Lineage: Eukaryota; Viridiplantae; Streptophyta; Magnoliopsida; Ericales; Balsaminaceae.
AGAACGACUCUCGGCAACGGAUAUCUCGGCUCUCGCAUCGAUGAAGAACGUAGCAAAAUGCGAUACUUGGUGUGAAUUGCAGAAUCCCGUGAACCAUCGAGUUUUUGAACGCAAGUUGCGCCCGAAGCCAAUAGGUUGAGGGCACGCCUGCCUGGGCGUCUCGC